This 627-nucleotide long non-coding RNA is filed under the name Homo sapiens (human). Its description in RNAcentral is "non-protein coding lnc-CPNE8-6:1". The record is from RNAcentral. Lineage: Eukaryota; Metazoa; Chordata; Mammalia; Primates; Hominidae.
AUUUUGAAUGACUCCAGCAUGCAGAAGGGCCCCUGAUCCAUGCUGUUUCCAUAUCCAAGCGCAAGCUUGUCUAGAGCUUCAGCAAAUCCAAGCCUCACUGCAUUCCCUGCAAGACAAAACUGAGCCCGACAACACCCACUACACUGGUUAGCUGACAGUCCCAGCCCCUGCUCCCUCCUGGGCCCCUGUCUGUACAGUUCUGAAGUCCUGCAAGAAUGUUGAGGUCCUAAGCCGACUUUCACUGAAACAGGUAAACAACCAGGGGCCUCCAGGGGUAGAGAACAUACCCAGACAGGUUCUGUUGCCUGUAGGCUUGAUGCCCUUCCCCCACAACAUGCCGUGCUUGUCUGGCAGGAAGGGGGGUUCCAGAAACUUGGGAAACCUGGGCCUGUAGCUGUCAUAUGGAAAAGAGGCCUGGAAAAGCACCACUCCUGUUCCCCAGAUGGAACCAGGUAAUUGGGAAAUACAUGGGCACCAAGCCUGACCCCCACUCAGACCCAGGUGGGAACUGUAGCAGUGACUUGCCCCCUCUGCCACUCUGGCUGUACCACCACAGGAGGAACAUCUGACCCCACACGUGAGUGGAGACACUAGGUGUGGGAGGUUCCAGUGGUUGCUGCAGCUGAA